CAGUCCUCCCACUCCCCUGGCUCUCUCGGUGCUGUUUUCUUCACCUCCUCCUGCCCUCCUGGUCCCUGGCACCCCAGGGCUCAUAAACAUGCUGCUCCCAAAACUCCAAGGCAAGUAUGGAAGGGCAGAACAGCUUCUGGGACAGUGGGAAGAUGAGGCCACCCGCUAUGGCCCUGAGCCCCCCACACAGCUGAGCUGGCCCAAGCUGAGGAGUUGCUUGCACAGCAGCUGGAGCUGGACCAGGCCCUCCUGGAAGGGAAGGAGUCGGUGGGGGCCCAGGCCCUGGUGCUCAAGAUCCAAAAGCUAAAGAAACAGAUGAGGAGGCACUGA
This 330-nucleotide long non-coding RNA is filed under the name Homo sapiens (human). RNAcentral's name for it is "long non-coding RNA NONHSAT116549.2". The record is from RNAcentral. Lineage: Eukaryota; Metazoa; Chordata; Mammalia; Primates; Hominidae.